CAAGGAUUCCCCAAGCAAAAGAUGUCUUAAAAUACUGUCUAUUUGACAUUUGACUGUUUUUCAAUUUGAAAACAGUCAAAUUUCCUGACCAAUCAACACAUUACACGUGAGCGAGCAGGAAAAUCAGCAGAUAGCAAAAAAAACCUCCUGGUCGUCUAAACGGGUCGGGUAAACAUCUGACCCGAUUUGUCCGAUCCCAUGCACAACAAAACACGCCAAUCGCCAUCAACCACUACAAAGAUCUCACCUAACAGCCUAGAACAAAUCUGGGAGGCGGCCAUGGGAGAUCGGGGAAUCAACAGGUCAGCGACAAUCGUACACAAACUCCUCACCAUCAUCUCUCUUCACCUCUUUCAUUAACAAAAUCUGAAGGAAUUUUCUUCAUCUUCAAAAUAGAGAGAUCAAGAUCAGCUAUAAUUCUAGGAAAGAUACAUGGGGAUUAACAUAAAAAAUACAGGAAAAAUUCAGAAAACAUUCAGAAGCUUAUAGUGCAAGUGGUAGUCAUUUUCCAGUGUAAAUCCUAUAAAAUUCCAGUGUAAUUCCCAGAAAAUUACAGUGCAAAUCCCCAUGUAAUUAAAUUGUAGUGUAAAUUCUCCAUAAUUUCCCGUGUAAAUCCCCCAUAAAUACCAGUGUAAACAUGGGAAAAAUGAUGUAAUUACACUGUACAUACCUAGUAAUUUACACUGUAAAUCAUAAAAAAAAUACAGUGUAAAUCCCAAAAACUUGUGAAAUCUGGUGUAAAUUCCAGUGUAAACAUGAGACAAAUUAUGCAAUUACAUUGUAAGUACACAGUAAAUUCCAGUUUAACUGCACUGUACAUACCUAGUAAUUUACAUACAAAAAAUUGUAAAAUCUAGAAUUUCAGUGUGGGAUAAAUCUGGUGUAAAUUCCAGUGUAAACAUGAGACAAAUGAUGCGAUUACCUAGUAACCUGGUUUGUAAUACAAAAUGAACUAUCUAUCCAUGGUUACUUGCCACCGGCAGCAGCCAAACUUUACACACAAUUUCCUAGCUUUACAUUGUAAGUACAUGGUAAAUUCCAAUUUAAUUACACUGUACAUACCUAGAAUCUACAAAUUAAAUUCCAGUGUAAGUUACACCGGAAUGAUGUAGGUUACACAGUAAGUACCCUGUAAAAAUUCCAGUGUAAUUUACACUGUAGGUACUACUUACAGUGUAAAUUAAAUUGUAGGUAUCUACAAAUUAAAUUACAGUGUAAAUGCCAGGGAAAAAUGACAUUGUAGCUACCUAGAAAUUUCCACUGUAAAUCUCUAGAAAUUCCAGUGCAAAAAUCUAGGGGGUUUACACUAAGAAACCAGUAAAAUCCACAGUAAAAAUAAACUAGAAGAAAACUCAGGUAAUUACACUUUGACCUAGUAAUUUGCAGUGUAAAAGCCUUAGAAAACAUUCAGGCAUAGAAAGAACAUAGAAAGCAGAGAGCAUAAGCACAAACACAAUCUACAGAAUACAUUCAAGCAUGCAGACAUUACAAAAUACUAGCACUAACAUUCAAGCAUACAGAAUACAUUCAAGCAUCUAUUACUAAAAUGCUUUGCUGCUCAUGAUUAUGUUAACACUAACAUUCUACUUUCCAAUUGUGACAGUAGAGGAGCAUGAUGAGGGUAGUGACUGAAGAGGAUCUACUGAGAUUAUCACAGGAAUAACUCAUACUAAAUGUGAGAUAUAGUUGCUAAAACAUUGGGAAGAUGUUUAAAAAUACAUAAAAAGGGUAAAAGGCUAACAAAAUUAUGAUGCAAGAAAGGUUUUCUUUCACUGCGCUCCUUCAUUCCGACAAUAUAUACAAGGUAAAGUGACAAAAGAACAAAAAAUACCACAGACAUUCAUGAGAUGUCUAAAAUUAAACUUGUGAUGAAUCUUGCAGGUACAUUUAGGAGAUGGAUCUAUGAACAUUCAAGUGAGCAAACCAGAUGACAGUUUCAUCACAACAAGAUGACAAUAUAAGCAAAACAAGAGCUGAAUAACUAUUACAAGAAAACGCCGAAGAAAAACACACUAACAAUCAUUGAAACUUACAUUUGCAGACAUUGGAGGCAAACUUGCAUAAUGAAGUGGCAGCAAGCGAAGAUGGGGGAGGAGAAUGUAAUCCCUGGGACACAAACCUGUUCUAUAACAUGAAUCUGCAACAUGUACACACCACAAAAUUCAGAAAUACAAUGAUGAACCUAAGAGAAAGUCAUAACAUUUCAGAAGAAAAUAACUAAAAGAAAUCCCUAAAAGUUGCAGGUGCCUGAAGAUGUUGAUCGCAGUAGAGCAGCAGCUAACACGAACUCAAGCACGGGUCAAAGGAAUGGAGAAGGAGAAAGAAAAGAACCAGAAGACUCACUUGAACAAGGAGACGAUGAAUUCCUCAAUGAAGAAGACAUUAAAGUGAGCUAAAUGAAAACCGCCCUAUAGUACUGAACCAAGCAAGGAACAUUGAAUACUAGCUAAAUAGUAUAUAGGAACCAAUGGUAUUACUGAGCAAACUAGACUUAAUUACAUUGAAAAAUAGAUAAAAUUAAUGUGCAAACAGUGUGCAAGACGGGCUAAAAUACACUGACAAAAAAAGGGCAGCCCGGUGCAUGUAGCUCCUGCUUGCGCAGGGUCGGGGAAGGGUCCGACCACUUUGGGUCUAUAGUACGCAGUCUUUCCCUACAUUUCUGUAAGAAGCUGUUUCCAGGACUUGAACCCGUGACCUCAUGGUCACAAGGCAGCAGCUUUACCACUGCGCCAAGGCUCCCCUUCCUAAAAUACACUGACAAAACCACUCAAAAUCCAAUAACAACCGAAUUAUUGGGUAAACUACACUCUAAUGUUGGGGUAAAUUACACUGAAACUACAUUCAAAUUACACUAUAAAUCCACUAGAAUUAAUGGGUGAAUUACAAUUAGAAGUCUGUAAUGCUGGGAUGAACUACACUGCAAUCACAAUUAAAUAACAUAGAAAAUUCACUCAAUACCACACUGAAAAAGGUUAAUUAAAUUAUAAAUCUGGUAGAAAUUACACCAUAAAUCUGGGACAAAUUACACUGCAAUACUGAGAUAAAAUUACACUGUAAGUCUACACUGGAACUACAACCAAAUAACACUGUAAUAUCCACUCAAUAUACACUGUAAAUCCGGAACAAAUUACAAUGUAAAUCUGGGACAAAUUACACUGAAAGACUGGCACAAAUUACAGUUCAAAAAUCAGGUUAAUUACACUGCAAAAUCUGAAAGAAAUUACACUAAUACAGUACUGAGAUUACACUGCAAGUCUGGGACAAAAUUACACUGUAAGUCUGAGAUGAAUUACAGUGUAAAAUAACACUGCAAAUCCAAUCACAACAACUGAGUAAAUGACCAUCAAAGGCUGAGAUAAAAUUACACUGAAAUUAAACUCAAACCAUCCCUGCAAGAAGUAAACAAACAUGGUACAAGGGGAACUAAACACCUACACCCCGCAAGAACAAAUCAGGAGGCGAAAUGUACUUAGUACAUGAACAGGAAUACACACAGGAGCAUCAGAACAUGAGCAGGAAAGAGCUAGGCAUCUGUACAAACCUCACCUACAGGAACAUGAGCAGAACAUCUAUAGAAAUCCCGCACACUACAUCUAUAGAAAAUCCAGCACCUAUAGCUACAUCUACAGAAAUCUGCCAUGGAAUCCCGCAUGCUACAUCUACACCUACAGAAUCCCGCAUGUUACAUCUACGUAGAAAAGGAAAACAACAAUUACAUCUACAAACUACAACAGGAGCACGCGCGCGUGUAUCACAAGGCCCAGCAAAUCACACAUACCAGCGGCUGCAUGAGAUGGCGAGAGGGCGACAUGAACUGACCUAGAUCUAGAACAACACAAGCAGAACAACAAACACGCGCAAGAGAGAGAGGAACAACCAACCGUGACACAGGGGGGCGAAGAGAAAGGGAAGAGAGAUCAAGCUCAGGCGGUGGGAGAUCUCGAAAUCUCCACGGACGGGGAGAAUCACAUCCUCUG
This 3977-nucleotide long non-coding RNA is filed under the name Triticum aestivum (bread wheat). Its description in RNAcentral is "long non-coding RNA (TAES_LNC005004)". The record is from RNAcentral. Lineage: Eukaryota; Viridiplantae; Streptophyta; Magnoliopsida; Poales; Poaceae.